This 163-nucleotide ribosomal RNA is filed under the name Craspedacusta sowerbii. RNAcentral describes it as "5.8S ribosomal RNA". It matches the Rfam family "5.8S ribosomal RNA". Rfam says of the family: 5.8S ribosomal RNA (5.8S rRNA) is a component of the large subunit of the eukaryotic ribosome. It is transcribed by RNA polymerase I as part of the 45S precursor that also contains 18S and 28S rRNA. Lineage: Eukaryota; Metazoa; Cnidaria; Hydrozoa; Limnomedusae; Olindiidae. The record is from RNAcentral.
AACAACUUCUAACGGUGGAUCUCUUGGCUCGUGCAUCGAUGACGAACGUAGCCAGUUGCGAUAAGUAAUGUGAAUUGCAGAAUUCAGUGAAUCAUCGAAUCUUUGAACGCAAAUUGCGCUCUCUGGAUCCCCAGGGAGCAUGUCUGUCUGAGUGUCGCGAACG